UACGAAGGGGGCUAGCGUUGUUCGGAAUUACUGGGCGUAAAGCGCACGUAGGCGGAUAUGCCAGUCAGGGGUGAAAUCCCGAGGCUCAACCUCGGAACUGCCUCCGAUACAGCAUGUCUCGAGUCCGGAAGAGGUGGGUGGAAUUCCUAGUGUAGAGGUGAAAUUCGUAGAUAUUAGGAAGAACACCAGUGGCGAAGGCGGCCCACUGGUCCGGUACUGACGCUGAGGUGCGAAAGCGUGGGGAGCAAACAGG
This 253-nucleotide ribosomal RNA is filed under the name uncultured bacterium. RNAcentral's name for it is "partial 16S ribosomal RNA". It matches the Rfam family "Bacterial small subunit ribosomal RNA", at positions 524 to 776 of the family's 1533-position model. The record is from RNAcentral.